UGGGGGAUAUUGCACAAUGGGCGAAAGCCUGAUGCAGCGACGCCGCGUGGGGGAUGAAGGCCUUCGGGUUGUAAACUUCUUUUGCUCUGAACAAGGCGCACCAUGGGGUGUGUUGAGUGUAGGGGUUGAUUAGCGCCGGCUAACUACGUGCCAGCAGCCGCGGUAAUACGUAGGGCGCGAGCGUUGUCCGGAAUUAUUGGGCGUAAAGGGCUUGUAGGUGGCUGGUUGCGUCUGUCGUGAAAGCUCAUGGCUUAACUGUGGGUUUGCGGUGGGUACGGGCUGGUUUGAGUGCAGUAGGGGAGGCUGGAAUGCCUGGUGUAGCGGUGGAAUGCGCAGAUAUCAGGAGGAAUACCGGUGGCGAAGGCGGGGCUCUGGGCUGUUACUGACACUGAGGAGCGAAAGCAUGGGGAGCGAACAGG
This 419-nucleotide ribosomal RNA is filed under the name bacterium. Its description in RNAcentral is "partial 16S ribosomal RNA". It matches the Rfam family "Bacterial small subunit ribosomal RNA", at positions 355 to 776 of the family's 1533-position model. The record is from RNAcentral.